RNAcentral lists this long non-coding RNA (382 nucleotides) under Lupinus angustifolius (narrow-leaved blue lupine). RNAcentral's name for it is "long non-coding RNA (LANG_LNC001695)". The record is from RNAcentral. Lineage: Eukaryota; Viridiplantae; Streptophyta; Magnoliopsida; Fabales; Fabaceae.
UGAAAUUCUAAAAGAAACUCCUUUUCGGGUUAGGCACACAAUAAACCAUUCAGACAAGCUAUCAAAAAGCUAUUUUUACACAUUCAGACAAGCCAUCCCAGAGGGUUUGGUUAGUACUGGGUACACAACCCAAAAGGAUUGGUGCAGGUAGAAUUUAGCUUUGUUUCAGUCAUGGCUAGGGGUGGGUUUUGUGCAAACUGCAUAAAUGGAGGUUGAGGGCAACUCCGGAGACCCUAGAGAUCGGGACUCAGGCAGAGGUGUUGCCAACAAUGGAGGUACAGCUGGGUUGCAUCUAGGAGGGGGUAAAAUUUGGGUGGCAGACGAAGAGGUCUAGCCACAGUAAGGUGAAUAGGUGGAGCUGAAAAUGAAAUAUAAUCUUUUU